GGCUCUGUGGUCUAGUGGUACGAUUCCCGCUUUGGGUGCGGGAGGUCCCGGGUUCAAACCCCGGCAGAGCCC
This 72-nucleotide transfer RNA is filed under the name Spiromyces aspiralis. RNAcentral's name for it is "tRNA-Pro". It matches the Rfam family "tRNA". Rfam says of the family: Transfer RNA (tRNA) molecules are approximately 80 nucleotides in length. Their secondary structure includes four short double-helical elements and three loops (D, anti-codon, and T loops). Lineage: Eukaryota; Fungi; Kickxellomycota; Kickxellomycetes; Kickxellales; Kickxellaceae. The record is from RNAcentral.